GAUGAACGUUGGCGGCGUGCCUAACACAUGCAAGUCGAACGGAAAUAGCAAUAUUUGAGUGGCGCACGGGUGAGUAACACGUAGCUAAUCUACCUCAAAGCGCGGGAUAACGUGUCGAAAGACAGGCUAAUACCGCAUAAGCUCCCGGUCUGUAGAGGGUUGGGAGAAAAGGCGUAAGUCACUUUGAGAUGAGGCUGCGGCCCAUCAGCUAGUUGGUGCGGUAAUGGCGUACCAAGGCGACGACGGGUAGGGGACCUGAGAGGGUGACCCCCCACACUGGGACUGAGACACGGCCCAGACUCCUACGGGAGGCAGCAGUGAGGAAUAUUGCACAAUGGGCGAAAGCCUGAUGCAGCGACGCCGCGUGGGUGAAGAAGGUUUUCGGAUCGUAAACCCUUUUCUGUGUGACGAGCAAGGACGGUAGCACAGGAAUAAGUCUCGGCUAACUACGUG
This 453-nucleotide ribosomal RNA is filed under the name uncultured bacterium. Its description in RNAcentral is "bacterial SSU rRNA". It matches the Rfam family "Bacterial small subunit ribosomal RNA", at positions 28 to 507 of the family's 1533-position model. The record is from RNAcentral.